UACGUAGGGGGGCAAGCGUUGUCCGGAAUUAUUGGGCGUAAAGAGCGCGUAGGCGGUCCGAUAAGUCGGCUGUGAAAGUCCAGGGCUCAACCCUGGAAAGCCGGUCGAUACUGUCGGACUAGAGUCCGGAAGAGGCGAGUGGAAUUCCCGGUGUAGCGGUGAAAUGCGCAGAUAUCAGGAGGAACACCGGUGGCGAAGGCGGAUCUCUGGGCCUUACCUGACGCUGAGACGCGAAAGCGUGGGGAGCAAACAGG
This 254-nucleotide ribosomal RNA is filed under the name uncultured bacterium. RNAcentral's name for it is "partial 16S ribosomal RNA". It matches the Rfam family "Bacterial small subunit ribosomal RNA", at positions 524 to 776 of the family's 1533-position model. The record is from RNAcentral.